UCGCUACUACCGAUUUCGAGUGGUCCGGUGAACCCUUUGGACUGGGAGCGCUUCGUGUGCUUCCGGAAAGUCGAGUAAACCACAUCACUUAGAGGAAGUAA
Molecule: ribosomal RNA, 101 nt
Filed under: uncultured eukaryote
Lineage: Eukaryota
Description: partial small subunit ribosomal RNA
Source: RNAcentral